UACGGAGGGUGCAAGCGUUAAUCGGAAUUACUGGGCGUAAAGCGCACGUAGGCGGUAUGUUAAGUUGGAUGUGAAAGCCCCGGGCUCAACCUGGGAAUUGCAUACAAAACUGGCAUGCUAGAGUAUGUGAGAGGGGGGUAGAAUUCCAAGUGUAGCGGUGAAAUGCGUAGAGAUUUGGAGGAAUACCAGUGGCGAAGGCGGCCCCCUGGCACAAUACUGACGCUGAGGUGCGAAAGCGUGGGGAGCAAACAGG
Molecule: ribosomal RNA, 253 nt
Filed under: uncultured bacterium
Lineage: Bacteria
Description: partial 16S ribosomal RNA
Rfam family: Bacterial small subunit ribosomal RNA
Source: RNAcentral